This 3257-nucleotide unclassified non-coding RNA is filed under the name Leishmania donovani. RNAcentral's name for it is "gene:LdHU3.36.7030(CDS-product:hypothetical_prote in_conserved)". The record is from RNAcentral. Lineage: Eukaryota; Euglenozoa; Kinetoplastea; Trypanosomatida; Trypanosomatidae.
CAGUUGCGCAAGGUACGGGCAUUGCCCUGGAACACACUGAGGGAGUGCAGACUCCUGCUGAAAGGCUUCUUUCACAGCCCCCUGAGCUUGAGGUCUUUGCGCCCGCAACUCCUCUCCCCCCGAACUCUCUCCCAAACUGCCAGUAGACGGAAGAAAAGCUCGCUGUGCGCCUUUUCUGCUUAGACUCUUGCCCCGCCCUUCCUUCCUUCCCUCUCUCCCUUCUUCGGUGAAGGAUACAGGGGCCCCUGUAUUCGUCGUUGUCCUAGGUACCCCACAAAGACAACGCCACCCCUUCUUAAACCAUGUCGAGCCCCGUCAAGCCCACGACGUCCGCCUCGGACAACCUCUUCAAGUCACUGGAGAGGGACUUUGAGGAGGCCAUGCGCGCCUUGGAGGGCGAGGAGUCCUUGGGACACUUUCGCCUCGAGUACGAUAAGUUAUACCGCGCCCUCAAGAAGAGUCACGCCUCCGAAAAUGAGAUUGCCACACAAUGCCAGCAGCUGACGCAGGAGCUGCUUUCUAACGCUGCCAAGAUGCAAGCGGCAGUGAAGCUCGCGCAGGGCGACCACAGCACCAUCGAGUCGCUUAAAAAGGAGAUCGAGAAGGCGUGGCGCGCCGUGGACGUGGCGAACGAGAAGGAUCAGCGCGCGCGCGAGAUGGUGAAGACGCUUAAGCAGGAAAUUCAGUCCUUGCAGAGCAUGAUCCACGAUGGCACCUCUCUGUCUACCGACCACACGUCGACGCUGGAGCAGCUCAAGAUCGACAACAAGCGUCUCCUGACAGAGAGUGAGGAUAUGACGAAGCAGAUGGAUACCUACACGAAGGAGAUGGCGGAGCGGACUGCAACUCUAGCGGCAUUGAAGACGUCGACGGAGGAGGCUGUGCAGGAGCGUAAGUUGUUGGCAAGCCGCCUGGAGCUGGUGCGGCAGGAGUACAACCGUGAGCGCAAUGCGCGCGAGCGAGCCGAGUAUCAGUGCUGCGAGCUUCUAUUGACGCUCAAGACGCGUGAAAAGGCGCUACAGGAGCGGCAAGAGCGCCUCACCUUGAUUCAUGCGCAUGCAGAGACACACAAGGCGGAGCUAGAAAAGCAGCAGCGCCGACGGCAGGCACUACAGCAGCAGCUUGAAACAGCCGAGAAGCAGCUCUACCACACAAAGCAGUCGUACAACGACAGCGUCGACACCACCGUCGAGCUGAACGAGCGACUGCACGCGAUGGAGAAGCAGAUUGCGGCCACUGGGAAGACGAUCCUCGAGACGCGUGACGAGUGCGCGCGAGUCACUCGCGUCGAGGAGCGCGACUUUCGCGAGUUCGACCGCCUCAAACAGCAAAUCGACAACAUUCGAAAAGACGAGGACCGAAUCGCGUACGAGGAGGAGACGGUGCGCAAACGCAUCGCUGCGGUGAAGCAGGAGACGCGGAGUCUGCAGGAGGCGCUGGAGCUGCUCGAACGGGAGUGCAGUGCCCUGGAGAAGAAGGGCGCCAGGGAGGAGUCUCUGCAGACCGCCACGCAAGCGCUCGUUCAGAACGAGCUCGCUCAGCAAGCGGAGCUGGAGGCAAGCAUCUCGCAAGAGACCGAAAUCGGGCGCCGUCUCCGAGACACGUUGCAGCGUUUGGAGAAAGAGCGGGAGAACUGUGUGAACGAGGUGUCGCAGAUGAGCGGGCAAAGCAAAAGCGCUUCAGAGGAGCUCAAGAUGGCAGUCUUUCAAGUUGAGGAGGUGCAGCGGAAGCUGGACGAGAGCGAGCGUCGUCUGACGCAGCAGCAGGCCAAGUACGAGCACAUGCGGGCAGAGCGAAACCAGCUAUCGAAACGUCUCGUCGACGCUCAGGAUGAGAUUGUCGAGUACCGACAACGGGUGAAGGUGGUGGAUCAUCAGGUACAUCAGUUCAAGGAGGAGCUGGCGCUGAAGGCGCGCAAGUGUCAGAGCGACAAAUCGCAAUACAAGAUUAGCAAGGAGCGCCUCAUGAAGGCACGCCAGCUCGUCAACGACAGCACGGCUAGCUUCGACGCAACGAUGGAGGAGGGGGAGCGUGUGGGGCAGGAGAUCAAGCAGCUGCUGAAGGUGGUGCAGGAAUGCGACAAGGGCCUCUGCGGACAGCAGCGAGAAUUUAUGAAGAUGAGCAACGAGCGCGAUACCCUCGCCGCACAGCUGACUCGCCGCAACGACGAACUUGCCCUACUGUACCAGCAGCUGCAACUGAUACAGGACACCGUCAACGCCGGCGAGGCGGCGUACCGCGACCGACUUGAUGACCUGCGCCUCCUCCACCUCAAGUUGCGAGAAAUUCAGCAUCAGUCUAUGCUGGCGCAGGUGCGCGGAGGUGAAGUGUCCACCGCGAAGAAGCGGUUGCGAGCCAAGCAGAAAGAGGUGCUGCUGGAGCAGGCCCAGGUGGCCGCCCUCGCCGAGGAGCUCGAGAAUCCGCAGAACGAGUCGCGCUGGCGACGCGUUGGCGGUAAUUAUCCGUCCAUGGCGGAGCUGGAGUCGAAGAUGAAGCUGCUGCAGCGCGACCUCCUCACCAAGUCUGAGGAGUGCAUGAAGCAGGAAAUGGCACUCGAGGAGAAGCAGCGGCUAAUGAUGGAGAUGCAUGCCAUGGCUGCGCGUCAGCCGGGCCCGGAGGUGGCACAGCAACUGAACGCCUACCAGAAGGACUUGCAAAAGAAGAAUGCGCAGAUGAAGCAGAAGGCAUCGGAACUCAACAUGACGGCGACACACAAGGCUGAGUUACGGUACGAGGUGGCGCGCCUGCGUCGUGCAGUCGACGAAAUGCGCCAGAAGUACUACGAGGUGAAAGUGAAGAACGGGACCUUCUCGGCAGCCGAGCUCGUUUCUGCUUCGUAGUCCAUGGUUGUGUACGAUAGAUGGAUGAACUCUGCUUGCCUGUUAUCAAAGACGCACCUGCCAGGGUGAGUCCGUGCUCUGCGUGUGAAGAUUCAUGGCUACUCUCUCGUUUCCUGUGGUCGUUCCUAUAUAUCUGUGCUUGCUAUUACACGGCAGCUUUGGAUGCGCUGCUCUGGAGUCUGUCGCUGCGUGAGUGCAGGUGUGUGCGCGUGUAUUUUUUCCCCCUGUUGCUGUUAGGACAAGUGUCCUUGUGCCUGCUUGCUUCCUCCAUGUACAUUACCAAAGCCAAGCCGCCGAUGCCUUCUCUUCUACGGCGUGCGGCCGACUUGCGCCUCUUCUUUUGUUUAUCGUCUGACGCAUACGUCCGUCUUCUUCUCUCCGCAGCGAUGGACGACUAUGUGCGCCGCACGCACACCC